AUUGAACGCUGGCGGCAGGCUUAACACAUGCAAGUCGAGCGGGGUGAUGGUGCUUGCACUAUCACUUAGCGGCGGACGGGUGAGUAAUGCUUAGGAAUCUGCCUAUUAGUGGGGGACAACAUCUCGAAAGGGAUGCUAAUACCGCAUACGUCCUACGGGAGAAAGCAGGGGAUCACUUGUGACCUUGCGCUAAUAGAUGAGCAUAAGUCGGAUUAGCUAGUUGGGGGGGUAAAGGCCUACCAAGGCGACGAUCUGUAGCGGGUCUGAGAGGAUGAUCCGCCACACUGGGACUGAGACACGGCCCAGACUCCUACGGGAGGCAGCAGUGGGGAAUAUUGGACAAUGGGGGGAACCCUGAUCCAGCCAUGCCGCGUGUGUGAAGAAGGCCUUAUGGUUGUAAAGCACUUUAAGCGAGGAGGAGGCUCUUUUGGUUAAUACCCAAGAUGAGUGGACGUUACUCGCAGAAUAAGCACCGGCUAACUCUGUGCCAGCCGCCGCAGUAA
This 503-nucleotide ribosomal RNA is filed under the name uncultured bacterium. RNAcentral's name for it is "partial 16S ribosomal RNA". It matches the Rfam family "Bacterial small subunit ribosomal RNA", at positions 30 to 523 of the family's 1533-position model. The record is from RNAcentral.